RNAcentral lists this ribosomal RNA (460 nucleotides) under uncultured bacterium. Its description in RNAcentral is "partial 16S ribosomal RNA". It matches the Rfam family "Bacterial small subunit ribosomal RNA", at positions 338 to 795 of the family's 1533-position model. The record is from RNAcentral.
CCUACGGGUGGCUGCAGUGAGGAAUAUUGGUCAAUGGGCGCUAGCCUGAACCAGCCAAGUAGCGUGAAGGAUGACAGCCCUAUGGGUUGUAAACUUCUUUUAUAUGGGAAUAAAGUGCAGUAUGUAUAGUGCUUUGCAUGUACCUUAUGAAUAAGCAUCGGCUAACUCCGUGCCAGCAGCCGCGGUAAUACGGCGGAUUCGAGCGUUGUCCGGAUUUAUUGGGUUUAAAGGGAGCGUAGGGGGGUUGGUAAGUCAGGUGUGAAAGUGUGGGGCUCAACCGGAAGCUUGCAGUUGAUACUGGUAGCCUUGAGUACUGGAGAGGUAGACGGAAUUCGUGGUGUAGCGGUGAAAUGCUUAGAUAUCACGAAGAACUCCGAUCGCGAAGGCAGUCUGCUGGACCGUAACUGACGCUGAGGCUCGAAAGUGUGGGUAUCAAACAGGAUUAGAUACCCCAGUAGUC